UACGUAGGGAGCAAGCGUUGUCCGGAAUCAUUGGGCGUAAAGCGCGCGUAGGCGGCCCUGUAAGUCCGUUGUGAAAGUCAAAGGCUCAACCUUUGAAAGCCGAUGGAUACUGCAGGGCUAGAGUACGGAAGAGGCGAGUGGAAUUCCUGGUGCAGCGGUGGAAUGCGCAGAUAUCAGGAGGAACACCAAUAGCGAAGGCAGCUCGCUGGGACGUUACUGACGCUAAGGCGCGAAAGCGUGGGGAGCGAACAGG
RNAcentral lists this ribosomal RNA (253 nucleotides) under uncultured bacterium. RNAcentral describes it as "partial 16S ribosomal RNA". It matches the Rfam family "Bacterial small subunit ribosomal RNA", at positions 524 to 776 of the family's 1533-position model. The record is from RNAcentral.